This 492-nucleotide ribosomal RNA is filed under the name uncultured bacterium. Its description in RNAcentral is "partial 16S ribosomal RNA". It matches the Rfam family "Bacterial small subunit ribosomal RNA", at positions 29 to 507 of the family's 1533-position model. The record is from RNAcentral.
AGUGAACGCUGGCGGUAGGCCUAACACAUGCAAGUCGAACGGCAGCACAGUAAGAGCUUGCUCUUACGGGUGGCGAGUGGCGGACGGGUGAGGAAUACAUCGGAAUCUACUUUUUCGUGGGGGAUAACGUAGGGAAACUUACGCUAAUACCGCAUACGACCUACGGGUGAAAGCAGGGGAUCUUCGGACCUUGCGCGAUUGAAUGAGCCGAUGUCGGAUUAGCUAGUUGGCGGGGUAAAGGCCCACCAAGGCGACGAUCCGUAGCUGGUCUGAGAGGAUGAACAGCCACACUGGGACUGGGACACGGUCCAGACUCCGACGGGAGGCAGCGGUGGGGAAUAUUGGAAAAUGGGCGCAAGCCUGAUCCAGCCAUGCCGCGUGGGUGAAGAAGGCCUUCGGGUUGUAAAGCCCUUUUGUUGGGAAAGAAAAGCAGCAGGUUAAUACCCCGCUGUUCUGACGGUACCCAAAGAAUAAGCACCGGCUAACUUCGUG